RNAcentral lists this ribosomal RNA (943 nucleotides) under archaeon OC14. RNAcentral's name for it is "bacterial SSU rRNA". It matches the Rfam family "Archaeal small subunit ribosomal RNA", at positions 34 to 978 of the family's 1478-position model. The record is from RNAcentral.
UGGGAUCCGAUUUAGCCAUGCUAGUCGCACGAGUUCAGACUCGUGGCGAAUAGCUCAGUAACACGUGGCCAAACUACCCUUCGGAACACAAUACCCUCGGGAAACUGAGGCUAAUAGUGUAUACCAUACCACCACUGGAAUGAGUGGUAUGCCAAACGCUCCGGCGCCGAAGGAUGUGGCUGCGGCCGAUUAGGUAGACGGUGGGGUAACGGCCCACCGUGCCAAUAAUCGGUAUGGGUCAUGAGAGUGAGAACCCAGAGACGGAAUCUGAGACAAGAUUCCGGGCCCUACGGGGCGCAGCAGGCGCGAAACCUUUACACUGCACGACAGUGCGAUAGGGGGAUCCCAAGUGCACAGGCAUAGCGCCUGUGCUUUUCGGUACCCUAAGGCGGUACCAGAAUAAGGGCUGGGCAAGACCGGUGCCAGCCGCCGCGGUAAUACCGGCAGCCCAAGUGAUGGCCGAUCUUAUUGGGCCUAAAGCGUCCGUAGCUGGCCGCGCAAGUCCAUCGGGAAAUCCACCUGCUCAACAGGUGGGCGCCCGGUAGAAACUGCGUGGCUUGGGACCGGAAGGCGCGACGGGUACGUCCGGGGUAGGAGUGAAAUCCCGUAAUCCUGGACGGACCGCCGAUGGCGAAAGCACGUCGCGAGAACGGAUCCGACAGUGAGGGACGAAAGCCAGGGUCUCGAACCGGAUUAGAUACCCGGGUAGUCCUGGCCGUAAACAAUGUCUGCUAGGUGUGGCUCCCACUACGAGUGGGUGCUGUGCCGUAGGGAAGCCGCUAAGCAGACCGCCUGGGAAGUACGUCCGCAAGGAUGAAACUUAAAGGAAUUGGCGGGGGAGCACUACACCGGAGGAGCCUGCGGUUUAAUUGGACUCAACGCCGGACAUCUCACCAGCAUCGACUGUAGUAAUGACGAUCAGGUUGAUGACCUUAUCCGAGCU